GAAAUGCGAAAAGUAAUGUGAAUUGCAGAAUUCAGUGAAUCAUCGAAUCUUUGAACGCACAUGGCGCCCGCUGGUACUCCGGCGGGCAUGCCUGUCCGAGCGUCAUUUCAACCCCUCAGGGCCCCCUUCAGUGGGCGGACCUGGUGCUGGGGAUCGGCCGCGCACCCCGCGGCCGUCCCUCAAAUUCAGUGGCGGUCACGGCGUGAUCCCUUGCGUAGUACCUAACCUCGCACCGGAGAGCGCUGCGGCCCGCCGUAAAACGGCCCAUUUCAAUGGUUGACCUCGGAUCAGGUAGGAAUACCCGCUGAACUUAA
Molecule: unclassified non-coding RNA, 314 nt
Filed under: uncultured Hypocreales
Lineage: Eukaryota; Fungi; Ascomycota; Sordariomycetes; Hypocreales
Description: sequence contains ITS1
Rfam family: 5.8S ribosomal RNA (bases 1-105)
Source: RNAcentral